This 5463-nucleotide long non-coding RNA is filed under the name Sus scrofa (pig). Its description in RNAcentral is "lncRNA (ENSSSCG00030026077.1)". The record is from RNAcentral. Lineage: Eukaryota; Metazoa; Chordata; Mammalia; Artiodactyla; Suidae.
AAGAUAGACAACUUAAAGCUGUGAACUGUCAAGUUUUCUGGAGAAGAAGGUAUGUAAUAUUUAGGCAAACUCCACUUACAUGCAACCAUGGGUUUGAGAACACUGAGGAUAGGAUGUGAGUGGUUGACAAAUAUGUAACAUAUUUCAUUUCUCCCCUUUUUUUCUACAAUACCUGCUCUGUAGCUCUCAAAGGAGGCAAAUGAUAUACUAACAAAAAGUGUCACACAUACACACACAUCUGCUACCCCCCCUCUAGCUUUCUAGUCCUAGAAAUCUAGGGUACUUACCUGUUUCUCCACAUCUACCUUAACUGAUUUUUGCCUCCUAGAGUGGCAGUACAUACUGCUCAAGAACCAAGGCUCUACUAUUUAUAACAGUCAAGACAUGGGAACGACCUAAAUGUCCACUGAUUGAUAGAUGAAUAGAUGAAUAAAGAUGUCGUUUACAUAUGUACAAUGAGAUAUUACUCAGCCAUACAAAAGAAUGAAAUAAUACCAUUUGCAGCAACAUCGAUGGACCUAGAGAUCAUACUAAAGUCAGAGUAAGACAAAUACCAUAUGAUAUCACUUAUAAGUGGAAUCGAAAAUAUGACACAAAUGAAUUUAUAAAACAGACUUGUGGUUGCCAAGGGGGAGAGGAGAUGAGGAGGGAUGGAGUGGGCGUUUGGAAUUAGCAGAGGCAGACUAUUUCAUACAGAAUGGCUAAACAACAAGCAUAGAGAACUGUAUUCAGUAUCCUGUGAUUAACCAAAAUGGAAAAAAAAAAUACAUGUAUACCUGAAACACUUUGCUGUACAGCAGAAAUUAACACAACAUUGUAAAUCAACUAUACCAAAAAAAAAAGAACCAAGGUUCAGAAAUCAAGAUACAUCUGGCCUGCAUCCCAUCUUCACGAUGGAAAUGACAAUAUUUCUCCCUAGGGUGUUAGGAGGCAGUUCAGUAUUACCUAUCUUCAAGACUAAGGAACUCAAUUGUUGGUUUUCCAGUCACUACUGGAUUUACAUUGAAUCUGAGAUUUAAUUCUAUGAGCAGCAAAAAACAAGAUUUCCUAAAAAUCAGCUCCUCCAGGACAGAUCUUGUCUUACCUUUUACCUAAAAUUUUAAAUAUAGGAGAAUCAAAAAUGGUAGAAGUUAGAGUUCCCACUGUGGCACAAGGUGAGGGUGUCUCUGCAGCAGCAGGGACACUGGUUCCAUCCCCAGCACAGUGGGAUUAGGAUCUGGCAUUGCUGCAGCCAUUGCAACACCAUAUCUCUGAUCAUAGCUCUGGCUCAGAUUGUAUCCCUGGCCUAGAACUCCAUAUAUGCCACAAGGUUCCCCCCACCACCCUCUGAAUGGUAGACGUUAAGGAUAUAAAAAUUCUGCAGGUAGACUGCCCGGAUUUAAAUCAGGAUUUCAAUACUUCCUAGUUUUUGUCUAGACCAAUUACUCAAAAUCUUUUCCCUCAAAAUCUUUUGCCUCAAAAUUUUCUGCUGUGAAAUGUGGGAUUCAAAUAACAUGUACCUAGGGAGAUCCAAUUGUGGUUCAGCAAGUUAAGGAUCCAACAUUGUGAGGAUGCAGGUUCAAUCUCUGGCCUCACUCAGUGGGUUAAGGAUCCAGCAUUGCUGUAAGCUGCAGCACAGGUUGCAGAUACAGCUCAGAUCCAGUGUUGCUGUGGCUAUGGCAUAGUUCCCAACUGCAUCUCUGAUUCAUCUCCUAGCCUGGAAACUUCCAUAUGCUGCAGGUGCAGCCAUAAAAAGAAAAAAAAAAGUACCUCUUAUGGUUAUGAUAAUAGAAAUAAAACAACAGUGUCUAAAUGGCACAUUACUAAGCUUAUUAUUUUAUAGCAGGUGUUAAAUGUUCAUAGUAUUACUUGGUACUUUAAAAAGCCUAGGCUGUGACAUCAGUUGAUUUCCACACGUUACUAUCAAGGCUAGUGUCACAAUUUGACUAAAAACUGUUCCAUGCUACAACAAAUAACCCUAAAAUUUAUGUGGAAACGUAGAAGACCCAGAAUUGCCAAAGCAAUUCUGAGGAAAAAUAACAAAGCAGGAAGCAUAACUCUCCCAGACUUCAGACAAUACCACAAAGCUACAGUAAUCAAAACAGCAUGAUGUUGGCACAAAAACAGAUAUACAGAUCAACAGGACAGAAGGAGAGAGCCCAAAAAUAAACCUACACACCUAUGGACAAUUAUUCUUCAACAAAGGAGACAGGUACAUACAAUAGAGAAAAGACAGUCUCUUCAGCCAGUGGUGUUGGGAAAGUUGCAUGGUUGGUGUAAAUCAAUCAAGGGAGAAUACACCCUCACACCAUACACAAAAACUCAAAAUGAUUUAUUAAAGACACAUUCAAGGGGGAUUAAGAUGGCAGAGUAGAACAACUGGAGCUCACCUCUCAUAAAAGCAACAAAAUUACAACCAACUGCUGAACAACCUUCAAUAAAAUAGACUGCAAAGUAUCAAAAAAGAUAUUCUACUCCAGAAGACGGAGAGGAGGCCACUCUGAGACAAUAGGAGGGGCAAUGAUGCAAUAUAAGCAACCCCAUACCCACCAGGUGGAUAGCCCACGGGCUGGAAAGUAACUACAUCUCAGAGGCUCACCCAAGGAAGUGAGAGUUCGGAGCCCCACAUCAGGUCCCCACACCUGGGAACCUGGUGUUGGGAAGAGGAGCCCCUGGAGCAUUUGCUGCUGAGGGCCAGUGGGGCUGGUGUGCAGGAGCUCCACAGGACGGGGGUGGGGGUGGGGGUGGAGACUCCACUCUUGAAAGGCACACGCAGGCUUUCUGUGCACUGGGUCCCAGAGCAAAACGGAGGCUCCAUAGGAAUCUGGGUCAGACCUGUCUGUGGUUCUUGGAAGAUCCCCUGGGAAAACAGGGGGACUGUGGCUCACCGGGGAAGGACACUGGAGGCAAAGGUCUCUGGAAUAGUCAUCAGUGCAAGCUGGCCCCACCCAUCAGCAAAGAGGCUGCCUAAAGACGCCCUCAGGCACACAGCCACCUCUGAUCACACCCAGAAGCAAAGCCCCACCCACCAGAGGGAUAAGAACCAGCUGCACCUACCAAUAGGCAGGCACCAGUCCCUCCUAUGAGGAAGCCUGCAGCAAGCCUCCAGCCACAAAGGGGGCAGACAUCAGAAGCAAGAGAUACUACAAUCCUAUUAUCUGUAAAAAGGAGACCACACCAACAAUCUAUACAAAAUGAAAAGGCAGAGAAUUAUGACUGGAUAAGGAAACAUGGAAAAACCCCAGAAAAACAGCUAAGUGACCUGGAGAUUACCAACCUCCAUGAAAAAGACUUGAGACCAAUAAUAGUAAAGAUGAUUCAAGAUCCUGGAACUGGAGACAAAUACUGAUAAAUUACAAGAAACACUGAGCAAAGAGAUAGAAGAUUUAAGGAUUAAGCAAGCAGAGAUGCAAAAUACAGUAACUGAAAUUAAAAAGUCACUAGAAGCAACCAAAAACAGAAUAUAGGAGGCAGAGGAAGGAAUAAGCAAGGUGGAAGAAAGACUAGUGUAAAUCACUGAUGUGGAACAGAAAAAAGACUGAAAAGAAAUGAAGACAGUCUAAGAGAAUUCUGGGAAAAUGUUAAAUGCACCAAUAUCUGUAUUAUAGAGGUGCCAGAAGGGGAGGAGAGAAAAAUGGGCCAGAGAAAAUAUUUGAAAAGAUAAUAGCUGAAAACAUCCCUAACAUGGUAGAGGAAUCACUCACCCAAAUCCAGGAAGCACAACGAGUACCACAUAAAAUAAACCCAAUGAGGACCACCCUGAGACAUAUUAAUCAAACUGACCAAAAUUAAAGAGAAAAUACAGAAAGCAGCUAGGGAAAAGAAGUAACAUACAAGGGACCCCCGAUAAAGUUAUCAGCAGAAACACUGCAGGCCAGAAGGGAGUGGCAUGAUAUACUUCAAGUGAUGAAAGGGAAAAAACCUCCAACCAAGAUUACUCUAUCCAGCAAGGCUCUUAUUCAGAUGUGAAGGAGAAAUCAAGAGCUUUAUAGACAAGCAAAAACUAAGAAAAACCAGCUUUACAAUAAAUACCAACGGAAUUUCUACAGGUAGAAAAGAAAAGGCCACAACUAAAAGCAAAAAUAUUACACAUAACAAGGGUCACCAGUAAAGGCAUACAUAUAAUACAAUAAAGUCAGGAAAUCGUCCACAUACAAAUAUGAUACCCAAACCAGAAACCGUAAAAGGAGGGUACAAAUGCAGGACACUGGAGAUGCACUUGCAAUUAGGAGACCAAUAGACUCCUAUAUCAAAACUCCUACAUCAAAACAAAAAUCUACAGUAGAUAAUAUGCAAAUAAGAAAAGGCAAUCCAAACACAACACUAAAGAUAGUCAUCAAACCCCGAGAGAGGAGAACCAGAAGGGAAUAAAAAAGACCAACAAAAACAAAUCCAAAAUAGUUAAUAAAAUGGCAAUAAGAACAUAUAAUUACCUUAAAUGUAAAUGCACUAAAUGCCCCAACCAAAAGACGUAGAUUGGCUAAUUGGAUACAAAAACAAGACCCAUAUAUACGUUGUCUUCAAGAGACCCAUUUCAGUUCUAGGAACACAUACAAAUUCAAAGUGAGAGGAUGGAAGAAAAUAUUCCAUGCAAACGGAAAUCAAAAGAGAGCUGGAGUAGUGAUACUCAUAUCAGACAAAACAGACCUUAAAAUAAAGAAUAUUAUAAGAGACAAAGAAGAGCAUUACAUAAUGAUCAAAUGAUCAAUCCAAGAAGAUAUAACAAUUGUAAAUAUAUAUGCACCCAACACAGGAUCACUUUAAUAUAUAGGACAACUGCUAACAAGCUUAAAAGGAAAAAUUUGACAGUAACAAAACAGCACUGGACUUUAACACUCCACUUACAGCAGUGGACAGAUCAUCCAGAGAGAAAAUCAAGAAAACAUAUGCCCUAAAUGAAGCACAGACCAGAUGGACUUAAUAGAUAUUUAUAGAACAUUCCAUCCCAAAGCAGCAGACUAUGCAUUCUUCUCAAGGGCACAUAGAACAUUCUCUAGGAAAGAUCCCAUUUGGGCCACAAAUCAAGCCUCAGUAAAUUUAAGAAAACUGAAAUCAUAUCAAGCACCUUUUAUGACAACCCUACAACUGGAAAUCAACAAGAAAAAACCUGCAAAGAAAUCACAAACACAUGGAGACUAAACAAUCUAUUAGUAAACAACCAAUGGAUAUCACUGAAGAAAUCAAAGAUGAAAUUAAAUGAAACAAAUGACAACAAAGACACAACAAUCCAAAACCUAUGGAAUGUGGCAAAAGCAGUUCUAAGAAGGAAGUUUGUAGCCAUACAUGUCUACCUCAGGAAACAAUAAAAAUAACAAAUAAACAACGUAACUUUACACGUUGCUCUAAUCUCUAGAGCAAGUAGAGAUUAGAACUGACAAAACCCAAAGUCAGCAGAACGAAAGAAAUCAUAAAGAUCAGAGCAGAAAUAAAUGAAAUAGAAACAAAGAAAACCAUAGAAAAGAUCAAUAAAACAAAAAGCUGGUU